UGCUGCUUGCCAAAAACCCUAGCCGAGGCGGGGGCGGAGGGGGAGCCUGCGACCGCAGCUCCGUCUUCGUCCGCGGCUGGUUAUCCGCGCCAGAAACUCUCUUCGGAUGGUGGAUGCGCGGGUGCACGAGGCCCUCCUCCUCCUCUCUCUGUAUUCCUUUCCUUGACCACGCGCCUCUUCUUUGUUCGCUUCUCCACCUGCGUUCUCCUUCGUCACGGUCUAAUGAGCCGUUAAGCUGUGGGAGAUUUUACCUCUCCGGACGCUGGAACGACUUCUUUCAAUUAAUUAUCUCGCAUUUUGUUGGAAAACUUUCUUCAACGCAGCUCCUUAGUCGUCCGGAAAUCUGCGGCUCGUUCUAACUGGCUGCUGUUCAUUGCAGGCUGCAUCAGCUUCUGUUGAAUCAAUUUCUUUCGGCGCCUUCUUCGCCGUGGAGAACACUAGGAAGAUGAGUGUGAAAUAGGACUACAAGAUCGGACCUUCUUGGUGUCAAUGGCAGACCAGUGGCAGAUGGACUCUACGACCCUGCACUGGGUCCAGUAUAUGGAUCUGAUCUGUGGGCGUUGACUUUCGUCUUUCUGUUAUUUGCAGUGUAUCAUCAAGGCACUUUCCAGUGCAUGCAGUCAGUGGGGCUGAUGCCCAAAUGGUUUGGACCAUUUCUGUGUGUGAUGAACCUGCUACAGACGCACAAGGACUGGCUACGCAUUAGAUAUUGUAUGGGCCCUUUGUGAUUGGGUCGGAUGUCAAGAGAAGACACUUACUCCAC
RNAcentral lists this long non-coding RNA (763 nucleotides) under Spirodela polyrhiza (greater duckweed). RNAcentral's name for it is "long non-coding RNA (SPOL_LNC000033)". The record is from RNAcentral. Lineage: Eukaryota; Viridiplantae; Streptophyta; Magnoliopsida; Alismatales; Araceae.